RNAcentral lists this ribosomal RNA (187 nucleotides) under uncultured bacterium. RNAcentral's name for it is "partial 16S ribosomal RNA". It matches the Rfam family "Bacterial small subunit ribosomal RNA", at positions 328 to 533 of the family's 1533-position model. The record is from RNAcentral.
ACGCUCGACCUACCGGAGGCAGCAGUGGGGAAUAUUGCACAAUGGGGGAAACCCUGAUGCAGCGAUGCCGCGUGAAGGAAGAAGUAUCUCGGUAUGUAAACUUCUAUCAGCAGGGAAGAAAAUGACGGUACCUGACUAAGAAGCCCCGGCUAACUACGUGCCGNNCGCGAGUNUNGCGGCGNGNGAG